This 700-nucleotide ribosomal RNA is filed under the name uncultured Pelagibacterales bacterium. RNAcentral describes it as "bacterial SSU rRNA". It matches the Rfam family "Bacterial small subunit ribosomal RNA", at positions 75 to 814 of the family's 1533-position model. Lineage: Bacteria; Pseudomonadati; Pseudomonadota; Alphaproteobacteria; Candidatus Pelagibacterales. The record is from RNAcentral.
AGUAGCAAUACUAUAGUAGGCGAACGGGUGAGUAUAAUGUGGGUAUCUGCCUUUUGGUCUGGAAUAACACGGGGAAACUUGUGCUAAUACUAGAUAAGCCUUUACAGGGAAAGCUUUAGCGCCAAUAGAUGAGCUCACACUUGAUUAACUAGUUGGUAGGGUAAUGGCCUACCAAGGUUGCGAUCAAUAGCUGAUCUGAGAGGAUGAUCAGCCACAUUGGGACUGAGACACGGCCCAGACUCCUACGGGAGGCAGCAGUGGGGAAUCUUGCACAAUGGGGGAAACCCUGAUGCAGCGAUGUCGCGUGAGUGAAGAAGGCCUUUGGGUUGUAAAGCUCUUUCGUCGGGGAAGAAAAUGACUGUACCCGAAUAAGAAGGUCCGGCUAACUUCGUGCCAGCAGCCGCGGUAAUACGAAGGGACCUAGCGUAGUUCGGAAUUACUGGGCUUAAAGAGCACGUAGGUGGUUAAAAAAGUUGGUGGUGAAAUCCCAAGGCUUAACCUUGGAACUGCCACCAAAACUUUUUAACUAGAGUGUGAUAGAGGUAAGCGGAAUUUCUAGUGUAGAGGUGAAAUUCGUAGAUAUUAGAAAGAACAUCAAUUGCGAAGGCAGCUUUCUGGAUCAUUACUGACACUGAGGUGCGAAAGCAUGGGUAGCGAAGAGGAUUAGAUACCCUCGUAGUCCAUGCUGUAAACGAUGUGU